AGAGAGAGACAUGCGCGCAUAUCAAUAAGCGGAGGAAAAGAAACUAACAAGGAUUCCCUUAGUAACGGCGAGUGAAGCGGGAAGAGCUCAAAUUUGAAAUCUUCAAGGUUUUACCUUGACGAAUUGUAGUUUAAAGAAGUGUUUUCUGCUGAAGUUUUGGUAAAAGUUCUUUGGAAUAGGACAUCAUAGAGGGUGAGAAUCCCGUAUUUGACCAUUAUUUUCAGCUUUGUGAUACACUUUCAAAGAGUCGGAUUGUUUGGGAAUGCAGUCCAAAAUGGGUGGUAAAUUUCAUCUAAAGCUAAAUAUUGGCGAAGAGACCGGAUAGCGAACAAGUACCGUGAGGGAAAGAUGAAAGAGAACUUUGAAAAGAGAGUUAAACAGUACGUGAAAUUGUCAAAAGGGAAGCGUUUGACACCAGUGUUGUUUUCUCGAAAAUCAAUUAAAAUGGCUCGAUUUUGUAUUGUUGAGACCUUAAAAGCUCACUGUACAUUUUUCGUGUCUUUUUUAAUGCACUUUUCGUUUAACAAGUCAACAUCAGUUUCUUUUGUUGUAAAAGGGUCAUUGGAAGGUGGCUUUCUUUUCGGAGAAAGUGUUUAUAGCCUUUGGCCUCUGCAAUCGGAGAGACUGAGGUCUGCAGCGUAGACUCUUCGGGGUUAGAUACAUUUGUGCUAAGUUAUAGCUUUUUAUAGACAACUUGUUGACUAUAAUUAGUCUUGUAGCUUACUCGCUUAUGCUAUUUUACCUACGCUUAGGAUGUUGAAGUCAUCGUAUCGCGC
This 776-nucleotide ribosomal RNA is filed under the name uncultured Neocallimastigales. RNAcentral's name for it is "partial large subunit ribosomal RNA". It matches the Rfam family "Eukaryotic large subunit ribosomal RNA", at positions 23 to 645 of the family's 3401-position model. Lineage: Eukaryota; Fungi; Neocallimastigomycota; Neocallimastigomycetes; Neocallimastigales. The record is from RNAcentral.